Chiloscyllium plagiosum (whitespotted bambooshark) is the source of this 950-nucleotide non-coding RNA. Lineage: Eukaryota; Metazoa; Chordata; Chondrichthyes; Orectolobiformes; Hemiscylliidae. The record is from RefSeq and is a predicted model, not a curated record.
UUAGUCUUGUUGUUCGCUGUCAGGCUGUUGAUUAGUGAAAGUUUUACGUCGAGUUUAUUUCUGUCGUGUCUGUUCGGCUUGGCUUGUCUUGCUUUGCUGCUUUGUUUUGUUGUUCUGUUCGUUUUUGGUGUUUGUUCUUUGUUUAUGAAAUAUGGAGGGUGGUUGCUGCCCUUGUGAUGUUAAAAAAAUAAGAAAGCUGGCCAGCAAUACAAUUCUCACACACUUUGUGCCACAGCCAAGAUUUAUAAGGUGACCUGUCUCAUUGCCUCAUGGGUAAUUUGAAGCAUGGCUGCAUUAAUUCGUUGCAAACUAAAGAAUGGAAAGAUACCUUACUGGCCCUUUGAAGGAAUUCUGCCUGUGACUGAGGGAUAGAGCUGGAAUCACUGAGAUGAUCCAGACCAACAGUACAAACCGGUCCAGGAAUUUCCAGUAGCAAAUGAGGAGGAAAUGGUUUAAACUUAAUUACAAUGGACACUCUGCAGCCUCCAACCUUGAUGGGAAGGAUCUUUCCAGUGCUCCUCAUCACCCCAACUGCUGCUAAGGUCGCUGAAUGUUCCGCCUAGGUUCAUCUCCAUCAUUGCAAGCUCAUCAGAUGAGCUCUUUGCAAGGGGGGACAUGAUGAAGAUCGAACUUGCCUUGUUCUGUGGACUUGCCAUUGCCAGCAUUGGUGCACAAGAAGGGACAGUUUACCUGUGCAAUCCUGUACAAUCAGAGACUGCGUAUCAACUAUGCCGAAAAAAAAUCCUUGCGUGCCAAGAGACUGAACAUUACCAAGACUGACUGCUGCAGUGGUCAACUGCAUCAAAAAGAUUGAACAGUUCAUUUAUUGAACAAGUCUAAAUGGUCUUUACCCUGUAAAGAUGUUGUGUGCCAGUUUGAUUUCAGUUGUGCUAUGGGCAACCCUGGUAAGCCUUGCCCCCAUUCAAAUAGGUCACGCCGCAAAAGAGAAG